CGCGCUAAGCAGGAACCGAGACUUUGUCAUUUGCUAGCAGUCAGGUACCUGAAGUAGCGCGCG
Molecule: microRNA precursor, 63 nt
Filed under: Aedes aegypti (yellow fever mosquito)
Lineage: Eukaryota; Metazoa; Arthropoda; Insecta; Diptera; Culicidae
Description: Aae-Mir-275_pre stem-loop
Rfam family: mir-275 microRNA precursor family
Source: RNAcentral